CUAGCGACUUCAGAGUUUGAUCCUGGCUCAGAUUGAACGCUGGCGGCAUGCUUUACACAUGCAAGUCGAACGGGGUGAGGGGGCAACUCCUCAUUCAGUGGCGAACGGGUGAGUAAUGCAUCGGAACGUGUCCCGUAGUGGGGGAUAACCCAGCGAAAGCUGGGCUAAUACCGCAUAUGCUCUACGGAGGAAAGUGGGGGAUCGCAAGACCUCACGCUAUGGGAGCGGCCGAUGUCCGAUUAGCUUGUUGGUGGGGUAAUGGCUUACCAAGGCGACGAUCGGUAGCUGGUCUGAGAGGAUGAUCAGCCACACUGGGACUGAGACACGGCCCAG
This 333-nucleotide ribosomal RNA is filed under the name uncultured bacterium. Its description in RNAcentral is "bacterial SSU rRNA". It matches the Rfam family "Bacterial small subunit ribosomal RNA", at positions 1 to 334 of the family's 1533-position model. The record is from RNAcentral.